Danio rerio (zebrafish) is the source of this 553-nucleotide non-coding RNA. The record is from Ensembl. NCBI's taxonomy places the organism in Eukaryota, Metazoa, Chordata, Actinopteri, Cypriniformes, Danionidae.
CAGACGCAGAUUUAGAUUCUCUCUCUACAUUAAGUUGUAUUGAACUGGAAAAUAAGAGAUUUUUUGAUUUAAUGUUGAAUUAUAUGUGUCUAAAGACAAUAUAGAAGGAAGUGAUGCUAGAAGAAACCGUUUAUGUGAGUUAAAUAUAGUUUAAUUAGUUAAUGAUCGUGACGGAGCUGAUUACAAGCAGCCUGGUUAAUGUGUAACUAGCUCCAUUAGGAGAUCGUCUGAAAGGAAACGCGAUUAAAGUUAAAUGCUGAAAAAGAGAAUAAGCAAAAGGAUUGAGUGAAGAAUUUCUUCGCAUUAAAAAGAUUAAAAGUUCAUCUGGUUUUGGUCAGGUUUUUUUUGUUGUUGUUUGUUUGUUUUAUUUUUCCUCCUUUACCUGGAUUGGUGCCAUCGUUGUGCUCCUGUGUGAUCUGUUGAUUUGAUGCUGGAUUGGGAUUGGAGCUUAUUGGAUUCUGGAUUCGUUCUAACUCCUGUGUUCGCUAAAGGGGUUGGGACUGGCGAGCCAUACGAACCGAACUUCAAAUUGUCAUUGUGUGAAACUGAUACU